GAGUUUGAUCGUGGCUCAGGAUGAACGCUGGCGGCGUGCCUAACACAUGCAAGUCGAGCGAAGCACUUCAUUAGAACUCUUCGGAGGGACGAGGAAGUGACUGAGCGGCGGACGGGUGAGUAACGCGUGGGCAACCUGCCUUACACAGGGGGAUAACAGUUAGAAAUGACUGCUAAUACCGCAUAAGACCACAUUGCCGCAUGGCAGGGUGGUAAAAACUCCGGUGGUGUAAGAUGGGCCCGCGUCUGAUUAGGUAGUUGGCAGGGUAGAGGCCUACCAAGCCUACGAUCAGUAGCCGGCCUGAGAGGGUGGACGGCCACAUUGGGACUGAGACACGGCCCAAACUCCUACGGGAGGCAGCAGUGGGGAAUAUUGCACAAUGGGGGAAACCCUGAUGCAGCGACGCCCGCGUGAGUGAGGAAGUAUUUCGGUAUGUAAAGCUCUAUCAGCAGGGAAGAAAAUGACGGUACCUGACUAAGAAGCCCGGCUAACUACGUGCCAGCAGCCGCCGCUGUAACG
Molecule: ribosomal RNA, 519 nt
Filed under: uncultured microorganism
Description: bacterial SSU rRNA
Rfam family: Bacterial small subunit ribosomal RNA
Source: RNAcentral